RNAcentral lists this ribosomal RNA (760 nucleotides) under Amycolatopsis sp. MBRL 76. RNAcentral's name for it is "bacterial SSU rRNA". It matches the Rfam family "Bacterial small subunit ribosomal RNA", at positions 124 to 897 of the family's 1533-position model. The record is from RNAcentral. Lineage: Bacteria; Bacillati; Actinomycetota; Actinomycetes; Pseudonocardiales; Pseudonocardiaceae.
AUCUGCCCUGUACUUUGGGAUAAGCCUGGGAAACUGGGUCUAAUACCGGAUAUGACCGGGCCUCGCAUGGGGUUUGGUGGAAAGCUCCGGCGGUACAGGAUGAGCCCGCGGCCUAUCAGCUUGUUGGUGGGGUAAUGGCCUACCAAGGCGACGACGGGUAGCCGGCCUGAGAGGGUGACCGGCCACACUGGGACUGAGACACGGCCCAGACUCCUACGGGAGGCAGCAGUGGGGAAUAUUGCACAAUGGGCGCAAGCCUGAUGCAGCGACGCCGCGUGAGGGAUGACGGCCUUCGGGUUGUAAACCUCUUUCGCCAGGGACGAAGCGCAAGUGACGGUACCUGGAUAAGAAGCACCGGCUAACUACGUGCCAGCAGCCGCGGUAAUACGUAGGGUGCGAGCGUUGUCCGGAAUUAUUGGGCGUAAAGAGCUCGUAGGCGGUUUGUCGCGUCGUUCGUGAAAACUCCACGCUUAACGUGGAGCGUGCGGGCGAUACGGGCAGACUUGAGUUCGGUAGGGGAGACUGGAAUUCCUGGUGUAGCGGUGAAAUGCGCAGAUAUCAGGAGGAACACCGGUGGCGAAGGCGGGUCUCUGGGCCGAUACUGACGCUGAGGAGCGAAAGCGUGGGGAGCGAACAGGAUUAGAUACCCUGGUAGUCCACGCUGUAAACGUUGGGCGCUAGGUGUGGGCGACAUCCACGUUGUCCGUGCCGUAGCUAACGCAUUAAGCGCCCCGCCUGGGGAGUACGGCCGCAAGGCUAA